UCCAACCUAAACACAACUCAAUUAACUAAGUUGGUUAUUCAAUAAUGUAAAAGAUUAAAGUUAAAUUUGUAUAUAUACAAUGAUGUAAUUAACAAUAAUCAUUCAAUACAAAGUGAAAAAGCUAAUUUUCUCAGAUUAACGAAAAUCCCUCUUUCUCCUAAACUUCCCCUUCUUUCUCACGUUAACGACGGUUAAUUUGGUUAACGCCUCUCAAGCUUUAGAAGAAAAACCCUAGACGUCGAUUCCAGACAACCACGCGCCGGAUUCCUUCCUGGACAUAGGCGUUCUCUUCCUCUCGCUCCGACGGACUCAAUGCAACCAGAAAUUAAUACAUGGGAGGUAGGGCACGCUGAUAUUAUUAGCUCUGAUUCCACUUAUUGGGAGAUCCACUAAACUGUUAUCACCAUAUCUGAAGAUCUGAUUGAUCACUCUUUUUGAUCUAGGGUUAGGGUUAGGUUAGGAUUAGUAAUUAAACCAGAUCUAGAUCAAUACUCACAAGAUAGAUUGUAAUUUUUGGAGAGAGAAAAAAGAACACAAGAUUUGUAUAGUGGUUCCACCCAACAUCUUGAAUCCUUCUUCUUCCGACUGACAAGAUUCAGGAUGUGAAAACGGCGGUGGUAUCGGAAGCUGAAAGAGGGUUUCUUGAGGUUAGUGAUAAGAUGUAUUUAUAGUCCGACCGCCAUAACUUAAGCACAAGCUCUUGUUUUUUUUCAAUGUUUUUUAUUUCCAUAUAGAUUUGAAAUAAUUUUCAUUGAUGAUUGAAAUAAGUUGUUUUGUUAGUCAUUAAUACUAAAUUAAGCUAAUUUUUAAGGACAUGUUUGUAAUUAAAAAAAA
RNAcentral lists this long non-coding RNA (834 nucleotides) under Zostera marina. RNAcentral describes it as "long non-coding RNA (ZMAR_LNC005248)". Lineage: Eukaryota; Viridiplantae; Streptophyta; Magnoliopsida; Alismatales; Zosteraceae. The record is from RNAcentral.